UUAAAAGUAUUCAUAUUAGUUGCAAGUAUACAUACCCCACUAUUCAUGUGCUUACGUGUUGGUUCUAAAUCAUCUUGUAUGAUAUUAGCAGAAGAUAGGUGGGACGAAAACUCAAGCUAGAACUGCUAUCAUAUUCUUUAACUCAAAGCUAUUGUCAAAGCAAUUCCUAGUUUGUACAGCCAAAAAGAUUAGAGUUUGAGUUAAAAAUUUGAACUUCUUUUUUUUAAAAUUUUAAUUUUAAUUUUUUUUGGCAUAAAAAAAUUAAAAAUAUUCUUAUCCCCAUACCUAAAUCUAACAUUUUCCUCA
RNAcentral lists this long non-coding RNA (306 nucleotides) under Phoenix dactylifera (date palm). Its description in RNAcentral is "long non-coding RNA (PDAC_LNC005176)". Lineage: Eukaryota; Viridiplantae; Streptophyta; Magnoliopsida; Arecales; Arecaceae. The record is from RNAcentral.